RNAcentral lists this unclassified non-coding RNA (283 nucleotides) under Hevea brasiliensis (rubber tree). Lineage: Eukaryota; Viridiplantae; Streptophyta; Magnoliopsida; Malpighiales; Euphorbiaceae. The record is from RNAcentral.
UCCGUGUUGGCCAAUCAAGAGGAGGUUGAGAUGGCGGGCGCUCUCUUAAACAUGAUGCAACACUUCCAUUUGCCAUGUAGGGAUAAACAAGCAGUCGUUCCGUUGGCGUCAUGCAAAACCCGCGUAAUCUAAGGAGAUUCCGAUGCACAGCCAUGCUUAUCAUCUCUACUUCUGUUUGAAACUGCAACUCGCCUCCAGGUGUACGCUCUUCUUUCAGUCUCUUGACAGCUACCAAUGAGCCAUCUGCUAAACGUCCUUUGUAAACCUUACCAAAUCCUCCUCU